UGAAAACUGAAAAGGGUUUUUGUUUCUUUACUUUUUGGGACAGAAAAAGAUUGGAUUUUUAUCUUGGGGUUUUGUGAUCUGGUUCAUUUUGGAGCUUUGAAGAGGAAUUGGAUAAUAAUUCUUGUAUGUUUAGAUAUAUGAUGCUGUCCAGUUCAUUCAGUGCUUGGAUCAGUCAUUUUCUAGCUUGCAUGGGAGGUUGCUUUGGUUGCUGUUCCAAAUCUCAACCAAUUAUUGCUGUGGAUGAACCAUCUAAUGGACUACGAAUACAAGGAAAAUUGGUGAGAAAGCCGAGUAUAUCGGAUGAUUUUUGGAGCACCAGUACAUGCGAUUUGGAGAUUAGUACUGUUCAAUCUCAUAGAAGCAUGUCUUCCAUCAGUAUCUCAAAUCAGAGCCUCAGUCAACACAGUGGCACUGGCAAUGCUAGCAACAACAAUGAAUUCGUAAAUCAUGGCUAUCUUCUUUGGAACCAGACUAGGCUUCAGUGGCUAGCAAGUAAAAAUCCAGAGAACCGACGAGUAGCUGAAGAACCGAUGUUAAAUUGGAAUGUUUCCUAUGAAAGCUUAUUUGGGACCAACAAGCGAUUCCCUCAGCCAAUUCCUCUCUCGGACAUGGUUGACUUUCUCGCUGAUAUUUGGGAGCACGAGGGUUUAUACGAUUAACCAUGUUGAUCGGAAUUACGUAUUGAUUUUCUUCGCGUUAUCUGAAUUUUCGGGUUGUUUUAACCUCUGAAAAAGUGGCUGAAUGUUGUCUUGAAAUCUCUUUGAUGCACACCUAGCCUUCCAAAUUUCCCAACAUGGCCAUUCGAUAAAAGUAAUUACCAAAAAAAUGGCUAUUCAUUGUAUAGGUUGUUAUGAAGAUUAAAGAUGGGGCUUGAUGAUAGAUUAGGAAAACAUCAAUUCCACGUAGCUAGGUGUUAUGACCCACCACUUGAUCUUGAAGAAGGAGGAAGAACCUAGAGUCUUAGAGAGACUUGUAGAAGACUCUAGAUUCUUGUAGAGAAGUCUUGAAAGACUUAAAGUUCUCUAGAAUUCUCUAGAGUGUGUAGAAAAUUCUAGAGUAGGAACUUUUUUGUAAAUAUGGAAGGAUUUGUAUAGUAAUUUUUAUUUACACUUAAGCUCCUUAGGAGUAGUAUAAAUAGAGGGGGCAUUCAUUUGUAAUAAACCAUUCAGAAAUCAAGCAUUCUUUCCAGUAAUAUA
RNA transcript from Solanum dulcamara, 1196 nucleotides. RefSeq lists it as uncharacterized. The record is from RefSeq and is a predicted model, not a curated record. The transcript has 7 exons. NCBI's taxonomy places the organism in Eukaryota, Viridiplantae, Streptophyta, Magnoliopsida, Solanales, Solanaceae.